This 110-nucleotide ribosomal RNA is filed under the name Cordylochernes scorpioides. Lineage: Eukaryota; Metazoa; Arthropoda; Arachnida; Pseudoscorpiones; Chernetidae. The record is from RNAcentral.
UUGACUAUAUUACAAUGGAAACACCUGUUCUCGUCUGUUCCCAUAAGUUAAGCAAUAUCGGGUCAGUACAUGUGAGGGUGACCACUUGGGAACACCGGGGGCUGUAGGCU